GUGGAUUAGGCAUGCAAGUCGAGCGAGAAAUUCUUUUUUGAUUUCUUCGGAAUGAUUUAUUGAAUGGACAGCGGCGCAAGGGAGAGUAACGCGUGGAAGUUUACCUUGAGGAUCGGGAUAGCUGCGGGAAACUGCAGGUAAUACCGAAUAAUGUCCCCGGACCAAACUUUUUGGCCUCAAGAGAACUCCGCGUCCUACUAGCUUGUUGGUGGUGUAACGGACCACCAAGGCGAUGAUGGGUAGCGGGUGUGAGAGCAUGACCCGCCUCACUGGGACUGAGACACUGCCCAGACACCUACGGGUGGCUGCAGUCGAGAAUCUUCGGCAAUGGACGCAAGUCUGACCGAGCGACGCCGCGUGCGGGAUGAAGGCCUUCGGGUUGUAAACCGCUGUCAGAGGGGAGGAAAGCUUCGGCUUGACUGAACCUCAGAGGAAGCACGGGCUAAGUUCGUGCCAGCAGCCGCGGUAACACGAACCGUGCGAACGUUAUUCGGAAUCACUGGGCUUAAAGGGUGCGUAGGCGGCUUUGCAAGUGGGAUGUGAAAUCCCUCAGCUCAACUGAGGAACUGCGUUCCAAACUGCAAAGCUAGAGGGAGACAGAGGUAAGCGGAACUGAUGGUGGAGCGGUGAAAUGCGUUGAUAUCAUCAGGAACACCAGUGGCGAAGGCGGCUUACUGGGUCUCUUCUGACGCUGAGGCACGAAAGCUAGGGUAGCGAACGGGAUUAGAUACCCCGGUAGUCCUAGCUGUAAACGAUGAGUACUGGAUCGUGGGGCCUUCCACAGCCUCUCGGUCGUAGCGAAAGUGUUAAGUACUCCGCCUGGGGAGU
Molecule: ribosomal RNA, 828 nt
Filed under: uncultured Planctomycetaceae bacterium
Lineage: Bacteria; Pseudomonadati; Planctomycetota; Planctomycetia; Planctomycetales; Planctomycetaceae
Description: bacterial SSU rRNA
Rfam family: Bacterial small subunit ribosomal RNA
Source: RNAcentral